Long non-coding RNA from Trachemys scripta elegans, 2414 nucleotides. RefSeq lists it as uncharacterized. The transcript has 5 exons. NCBI's taxonomy places the organism in Eukaryota, Metazoa, Chordata, Testudines, Emydidae. The record is from RefSeq and is a predicted model, not a curated record.
CAGAGAGCCCUCUACAGAGAUGUCAUGCAGGAGAAUUAUGAGAAUGUGACCUCGCUGGGAUUUCCAGUUUCCAAACCUGAUGUGAUCUCCCAGCUAGAACAAGGGGAAGAGCCAUGGGUCCCAGACCUCCAGGGUUCAGAGGAAAGAGAGAUCUUGAAAGCUCCCUGCACAGUUGAGGAAACUUAAACCAACUCAGAAUCUGAAGCAUGGCAGUGAGAUCUCUACUGAAAGCUUGUAAAUUAUUGUUACUCCUAAUCACUGCAAGAGGUGUGUACGAGUCCUAUUGAAGGAGUAAUAACCUGUCUAUGCCACUGGGACUCCUCCAAUAGGACCUCAGGAGUGGAGCUUCAGACUGGGGCUGAACUUCAUGGGUGUUAGGUACAUCAUUAGGUCCUUUCAUGGAUUGGUAACUGGUUAAACACUGCUCUGCAUUGACUGCCCUGACCACGGGUGGCCCAGUGGCCCACUGCACCCCCAACUUAGCAGCUCCAGCUACCAAGAGAGCAAGAACCAGAGGCCUUCCUGCUCCUGGGACAGAGGAGUAGGUUGAUGAUCUACCUGGAUGUGAGUGUUGGCCUUCCCCAUGCCCAUGGUCUAGACUUCAUUCAGGGCAGCACACAGGAAUUGCGAUUCCUAUUCUGGAUCUAGGGGCGGUUUCAGUUUGCUGGCAGGAGACUGUACAUGAGACCUUGCAGUUGUGGGGUGAUCCAGGCACUAACAUGGGCACGGAAGUUUGAGGAACAGGGCAGAGGCCUGUGUGGGGCAAGGAGGGCAGGGAUUUGGGAAGCAAGAGCAGAGGAUCAAACACUUUCUUCAUGUGGGACAGGAUGAUCCCCAUUUCAAAGAUAGAGAAAGUGAGGCACCAGAUGGGAGAGUGACCUGGCCAGGAUCACGUUCCCACUCAGUGGCAGGGCUGCAGUAUAACCUGUUCCCUGCUCUCAUCACUGGACCCUGCUGCCCCUUCUGUAGGACCCCUCCAGCCAUCCUCUCCCAUAGGCCAUCUCCACCCCUCUCCAAUACCAGGCUGUUUCCAUAAUGGAAGCAGGCUUGUAACAGAGUUCACUCACUGAUAGGUGCCCCUUCCUGGCGAGGCCUGGGGUCACAGCUUUCCUGCUGGGCUAGCACCCCCGCCGAAAGUUGCUAGGGCACUCUGGCAGUUUUUUGCCUGGGAACUCAGCCCUUCAGUCAGGUGACCAUCUUUUAGUACACUCCUUCCUUGGUCACCCUCAUCCCAAAUGAAAAGUCCAAACAUGUCUUUAACCGAAACAAGGUCUUCCAUCUCUUUGGGGCUUUUCCUCAGCCUGACUUUGGCUCAGCCUUGCCCUUGCUGGUCUUGGUAGUCCUUUCUAUGGCCUUGUAUGUCCCCUUCCUCAGAGAUCAUGGGAGAAUCAGUUCUACCCUGGAUUAUAGGUUCUGCCCCAAGGCCCUGUACCGAACAGCUAGGCCUGCUCCUGUACCUUUGCUGCGGUUUUCCCUAGCUUCCCCUCAGGUGGAGCUCACUCUGUAAUCCAUUGGGCCUAGCUCCAGGCUUUAUUGCCCACAGGUCAAGCCCCCCCGUCAUAUACGCUCCUCCUUAGAAACUGGCCCACAUGAGGGGCAAGUUCUAUUCUUGUCCUGCUUGAUCCCUCGUCAUCUCGCCACUGUCACCAGCUGUGCACUUGUACAGCCUGCACCCACAGUGGCUCCAGCUCCACUGCCAGCUCGCUCACCAGAAUUCAGAGGCAAUCCUCCUCUACAGUAUCCCAACGCUCUUCCUGCAGCCACUCCUCCUCAUUAACAGCUGCUUGCAGAGCCUGUUCUGAAGCCUUUAACUUCUUCUGUAGCCUUUUUGCUACUGCCGCUGCAUAUACCAAAACCUUUUCCAUCAGGGUCAGAGAGCCCACCAUGGACUGCUCCACCCUUGUGUUUGUCCCUUCUUCAGUCUGCUUCAUCUCUGGGCCAACCAUUUUGUCCUUCACCUCCCUGCAGCACCUGACAGGGUGUGUUGCUGGAGGGUCUGCAAAGUCCAUGGCCAUCCCUGCCACCUCCAUGUUGCCUGCCUCAUGUGGGUUUGUGUUAGAGGACACCUUUUCCUUUCUUUCUAACUUCUUGGGGCCCUGGCUUCCAGGGCCAGUGUAGUCACUAGGUGAACUAGGCGGCAGCCUAGGGUGCCAAGAUUUGGGGGUGUCAAAAAGCGGUACCCCCCAAUUUUUUUUUUACACUACAGUGGAGUUGCAUCUUAUGCAGGGAUUAGGUUCUAAGGUCAGCGCAUAAGGGGAAAAUCACGUAUAGUGAAAAUUACCAUAAAGUACAGUACACACAGUAUACACUAGAACAGGGGUCCUCAACCUACAGCACGCAUGCCAAAGGUGGCACACAAGUUGAUUUUUUUUAAAUGGCAGGCUGCAGGUCCCGGCCACCACUGAGCCCGCUGC